RNAcentral lists this transfer RNA (83 nucleotides) under Pseudobutyrivibrio sp. Its description in RNAcentral is "tRNA-OTHER". It matches the Rfam family "tRNA". From Rfam's summary of the family: Transfer RNA (tRNA) molecules are approximately 80 nucleotides in length. Their secondary structure includes four short double-helical elements and three loops (D, anti-codon, and T loops). Further hydrogen bonds mediate the characteristic L-shaped molecular structure. tRNAs have two regions of fundamental functional importance: the anti-codon, which is responsible for specific mRNA codon recognition, and the 3' end, to which the tRNAs corresponding amino acid is attached (by aminoacyl-tRNA synthetases). tRNAs cope with the degeneracy of the genetic code in two manners: having more than one tRNA (with a specific anti-codon) for a particular amino acid; and 'wobble' base-pairing, i.e. permitting non-standard base-pairing at the 3rd anti-codon position. The record is from RNAcentral. Lineage: Bacteria; Bacillati; Bacillota; Clostridia; Lachnospirales; Lachnospiraceae.
GGCUGGUAGCCCAGCUGGUUAAGGCACCCGGAAGCACUAACGUGCUGCAAGGGAGAUCAGGGGUUCGAAUCCCCUCCAGGCGA